This 75-nucleotide transfer RNA is filed under the name Patescibacteria group bacterium. RNAcentral's name for it is "tRNA-Arg". It matches the Rfam family "tRNA". From Rfam's summary of the family: Transfer RNA (tRNA) molecules are approximately 80 nucleotides in length. Their secondary structure includes four short double-helical elements and three loops (D, anti-codon, and T loops). The record is from RNAcentral.
GCUCUCGUAGCUCAGCUGGAUUAGAGCGAUUCCCUCCUAAGGAAUAGGUCGCAGGUUCAAAUCCUGCCGGGAGCA